RNAcentral lists this ribosomal RNA (394 nucleotides) under uncultured bacterium. RNAcentral describes it as "bacterial SSU rRNA". It matches the Rfam family "Bacterial small subunit ribosomal RNA", at positions 984 to 1382 of the family's 1533-position model. The record is from RNAcentral.
ACAUGUCAGGAAUCUUCAGAGAUGAGAGAGUGCCUCGGGAACCUGAACACAGGUGCUGCAUGGCUGUCGUCAGCUCGUGCCGUGAGGUGUUGGGUUAAGUCCCGCAACGAGCGCAACCCUCGUCCUUAGUUGCCAUGCCGCAAGGCGGAACCCUAAGGAGACUGCCGGGGACAACCCGGAGGAAGGUGGGGAUGACGUCAAGUCCUCAUGGCCCUUACAUCCAGGGCUACACACGUACUACAAUGGUCGGUACAGAAGGUUGCAAGACCGCGAGGUGGAGCUAAUCCCAAAAACCGGCCUCAGUUCAGAUUGAAGUCUGCAACUCGACUUCAUGAAGGUGGAAUUGCUAGUAAUCGCAGAUCAGCACGCUGCGGUGAAUACGUUCCCGGGCCUU